Mauremys reevesii (Reeves's turtle) is the source of this 1180-nucleotide long non-coding RNA. RefSeq lists it as uncharacterized. Lineage: Eukaryota; Metazoa; Chordata; Testudines; Geoemydidae. The record is from RefSeq and is a predicted model, not a curated record. The transcript is spliced from 4 exons.
UGUACCAGAGCAGCAUAAGAGCAUGGAAAGAAACUUUCUUUUGUGGAGAAUUUUUUGGGGGUGUAUUUCAGUGUGCUGAUAAAAACGGUAGGAGAAAAUAAUCAUAAUACUACAGUCCGGGCAUUAGAGAAAUUCCAUGAAAGAGGGAACCUUUUAAAGGUGCACUGCUGAAAAUUUGAUUUAAGAGAAAUGUACUGAAAACGUGCCCUUCUGAAGCUUAAUAAAAGAGCCAGUGGAAUAGCAACUUGAUUCAAAAGUCAGUAAGGAGAGGUUGUUCCACAAAGCGCCACAGAGAAGACUUCAACACACACACAAGCGCGGACACAGAGCUUAGCAUAUUUGUUUUCCGUUACUUUUAACAAUGUUCAUCAAUGAUAUUUGAUCACACUAUUGACAAGUCUGCAAAUGGCAUUUGUUACCAGCAGCAUUACUCAGAGAGCUUUUAAUUGCCUUGUUAAGCUGUUUGUGCAAACUCUUUGCAUUCAGUAUUAUACAAAAGAGGUGCUUUUGCUAUUUGCAUUUCUCCUUGUGAUCCUCGAUUAAGCACGAUAAAAGUGAGUUGUAUCAUACUGAGUUUUAGUUGGAUAAGAGGCAAAGGAAAACUUUUGUGGAUGCUUUUUAAGGGAUAGUAUUCAAGCCACUGAAGUAUGUGUAUGUAUCUGUUAUUUAUUAUAAAUACAUGCUAGUGGAAAUCUUAGGAGCUUCCUUAUUCCACUGUCAAUCUCUGGGGAUUCUACUAUCUCCAAAUCCACAUCUGAAGGACUUCCUAAAAAAGGUGGGCUUUCGCCAAAGGUGUAGGUAUUUAAUUUGUUUGUAUGCAAUCAUUCUAAAGGGUUGGCUUUGGAACUAAUAUAGGCCUCAAUUCAUAUAGUCAUGUGCUUAAGUCUCUCUCUAUUCAGGGUGCUUUCCUGAAUCAGGCCGAUAGCAAGCAUAAUUUUAUUUUUACCAGGUGCAAAAGGAAUGUGAGUGUGUGCAGGUAAUGAUGUUUACUUGCAGUAUUUAUUCAGCAUCUAGUUGUCUCUGUGUGCUGUAAACACUUUUAGAUUGUGAGGUCCAUGGUGAACAAGAGAGACAAAGCUGCAAUUGAAGCUAUGCAGAAGCCUAUUUAUUGGUGUUUAUAGCCUAGCAGAGUGGGGUCCUGCUCCAUGACUGGAACUCCUAAGCUCUAUGAUAAUAUUAA